GUGUCAGCCGCCGCGGUAAUACGGAGGGUGCGAGCGUUGUCCGGAAUCAUUGGGUGUAAAGGGUGCGUAGGCGGGCUGCUAAGUCUGGGGUGAAAUCCUGCCGCUUAACGGUAGAAUGGCCCCCGAUACUGGCAGUCUUGAGUACAGAAGAGGUCGGUGGAAUUCGUAGUGUAGCGGUGAAAUGCAUAGAUAUUACGAAGAACACCAGUGGCGAAGGCGGCCGGCUGGUCUGUAACUGACGCUGAGGCACGAAAGCGUGGGGAGCGAACAGGAUUAGAUACCCUGGUGGUCCACGCUGUAAACGACGUAUGCUAGGUGUCGGCCCAUCGGGGUCGGUGCUGCAGUCAACGCAGUAAGCAUACCACCUGGGGAGUACGUCGGCAACGAUGAAACUUAAAUGAAUUGGCGGGG
Molecule: ribosomal RNA, 411 nt
Filed under: uncultured prokaryote
Description: bacterial SSU rRNA
Rfam family: Bacterial small subunit ribosomal RNA
Source: RNAcentral